Molecule: ribosomal RNA, 256 nt
Filed under: uncultured bacterium
Lineage: Bacteria
Description: partial 16S ribosomal RNA
Rfam family: Bacterial small subunit ribosomal RNA
Source: RNAcentral
AGGAUCCUACGGGGGGCAGCAGUGAGGAAUAUUGGUCAAUGGUCGGGAGACUGAACCAGCCAAGCCGCGUGAGGGAGGAAGGUACAGAGUAUCGUAAACCUCUUUUGUCAGGGAACAAAGGCGGGGACGUGUCCCCGGAUGAGUGUACCUGAAGAAAAAGCAUCGGCUAACUCCGUGCCAGCAGCCGCGGUAAUACGGAGGAUGCGAGCGUUAUCCGGAUUUAUUGGGUUUAAAGGGUGCGCAGGCGGGAGAUCAA